Molecule: unclassified non-coding RNA, 423 nt
Filed under: Hevea brasiliensis (rubber tree)
Lineage: Eukaryota; Viridiplantae; Streptophyta; Magnoliopsida; Malpighiales; Euphorbiaceae
Source: RNAcentral
AAUUAGUAACACUUGCACUAUAUUCGGGGAGAAAAAAUGCAGUAACAUAUCGAGAAUAUAAAUGCUCAUUUUAUUCUAUCAUCUAAUGAAAUAUUUCUCAAUACAACACAAACAUAUGAACUGUGAAUAUCCCAUGUCAACUUCAUCGAAUAAUUUCGCCAAGGGCCUCGACAUGGUAGCAAUAAACUCCAGUAAUAAUCUCGCACUAAGAAACUCUAAAAAUACCAUCUUGGUCUUACUUCCUCUUCUUCUUCUGUCAAAUCGCGGUACUGAUACCAUUCUGAUCCAGCUUUACCAACAGGCAUGGGAGGCCUAACGAAAAUCUCUACUGGUUUAGGGACGUGGAUAGCCAACUCGAGUUCAUUGACUGAUGAUUCUAAAUCAGAAUGAUUGUUUGGGAGCAAGUUCUUUCGUUCAACAGUG